This is a long non-coding RNA of Mus musculus (house mouse), 3194 nucleotides long. RefSeq annotates it as predicted gene, 39697. The record is from RefSeq and is a predicted model, not a curated record. The transcript is spliced from 6 exons. Lineage: Eukaryota; Metazoa; Chordata; Mammalia; Rodentia; Muridae.
GCAAAGAAGCACUUAAAGAAACUUUCAUUGUUCUUAUAUUUUUCUAAAAUUUUGAUAUGGUACACUGAAGAAAGAACACUCAGCCAAACUCAACAACAGUUCAGGGCUCAGAUCCAAUCUCAGGGAAUGGAGCUACCCACAGAGGAUGGGUCCUCCCACACCAAUCAACACGAUGAAGAUAACCCCUGCUCGUGUGCUCGGACACCAAUCAACACGAUGAAGAUAAUCCCUGCUCGUGUGCUCGGAUGAUCAUAUCACAGAUACAAAUGUAAACCUCUCAACUACUUCUAAGGCAAUACACCUGCCUGUGUGUCACCAUAUUCUCCACCAUGAUUAGAAUGGACUAAACCUCUGAAACUAUCUACAAUGAAAAGGAGGAAAUCUGGACAAAGAGAAAUACAAAAGAAAUUUACGCCUCCCUUUGCAUUAAAGGUGUAAAAAUACUACUACCAGAAAUUUCAAUCAUCUUGAACCUUGUCAUAUGAAUAAUGGAGAACCAGGAAAUAUACAACCAUCAUCUUAACCAUAGUGAAGGUACCGCCCUUGCUGCCCAUUGGAAUUGUGGAAGCAAGAAGGACCACCUAGCAUUUGUUCUUUUCUUGAGUUGGUUUUGCCUCAAUAGAGGCAGAAAUGGAGCAGCUGUAAGCAGAUAGUCCUGGGGCAGGUAAUGAAUAAGCGUGGCUUUUGGCCCUGAUUGCAACCCUCUGUGCAGAUGAGCUUAACUUGGGGCAGCCAACUUGAGAAGGAAGGAGGCUGGAAGAGAUAAUUGUGGACAACAGAGAGCUGGCCUGAAGAUAUCCUGCUGAAUUCUGCAUAUCUCUGAACAGACAUCAGAUAUCAGACACUAAAUUUUCAAGAUGCCUCCAAUCCACAAAAUAGAAGAAAGAAGGAAAAAAGAGGCAGGGAUCUUUUUCUGUCAGGAAUCUUGAACUCUGUUGAUUGUAGAAGGCUGUUGGAUAUAAAUGCAUAAAGAAACAUAAAGGAAGGAUGCAUAUGUGUGUGCAUGCACAUGUGCAAAUUCCUGGCAAUACCUGCCUGCAGCCUUCUUCUGCUUCUCCAAGAUAUGUCUGUACAUAAGCUUACAAUGUCUACCGAGUCUUACAAAAUAAUGUGAAAUUACAUAGAAAUAGCAUUAAGCUUCCUGGGACUGGAUCUUAUCUGACACAUGCAUCCUUAUCAGAUAAGAUGCUGAGAUACAUAUAAGUGGGUAGUUUCUAUUGAGCAUCUUCUCUCCCUUAUGUCUGGAGGAAGAGAAUGAACUCAUUUCUAAUCCUGCGAAGUGGCUGUUUAAAGAGAACUAACUCAGUCACUAACUCAGUUGGCUCCCUGAACAAAGAUGAUCCUGCUUCCAUGAUGCUCCUACAAUCCCAAUCUCUCAAUGUUGGUGGAGCUGAGGCAGCUCUUCUAAGCCAUGUGACAAGGAUGAGGACAAAAACCCUCCUCAACUUUCAAUUGAUAGAAGGAUUCCUGAUCUUAACUAUGUAGAUUCUGUUCUCUCAACUCUGAAUCAUUCACUUUUAGAACACUUCUAAGGAAAUGAAAGCAUAGUAGCCUCUAUCUCAUUAUGUUAUAACUGUUUGGGGUGCUAGAGUUACAGCACAGCAACUUCAACUCUCACUGAUACAUUUAUGGUAUCAUUUGUAAUUAAGAACAUUGGGCUCCAUUUAGGGAAACAGAUCACCCAGAUAACCUAGCUGGCUAACUGGGUAGUAUAUAUGAGCUCCCGUGGAAGGAGCAAAGAGUGAGCAUUAUAAGAAAUUAAUCAAGGCAAAGUUCAUUAAUCCCAUGACUCUGAAUCCCACAAGAAACUCUCAGCAGAGAAAGCUAUUCCAUACAAAGGGAAACCAUUCUGGAAUGUAUAUAUUUAAUUUACAUAUGGUAUAUUGAAAACAAAUACAGCAUAACUUCUAAGUAUGUAUUUUAAUACUGCAAUUUAAUAGUAUUUAGGCUUUGAUUAAUAUUCACCUAGAGGCCAAGUAAGCAUGCCACAUUCAUCUACUAUUUUUCUUAAGUCAAGAAAUGGUUUGUUCACCUAACACCUUUUAGAUCUUGCCUCUUGGUCACUCAUUAAGCUCCAUCUUUGCUUUUGUAACUCAUGCCUCUCUUCUAAACUGUGACUGUGGUGGUAGGGAGUCUCCAGGCCACUUCCAUAUCGCAUCUCCAGCAUCUCUUCCAGUGUCCAAUGCUCAAAGAGCUAUUAGUUAAUGUGUGGCUGGGGAGAGAACACCUCUCUCUCUUUUUUAACUGUCAAGUUGAGAAUUCUAGAUUUUAGCCUAAGCUGUAUCAUGAUCAAACACUGCAGAACGGGAUUCCAGAUUGUGUUUGGUUAGGUUCACUGUCAAAUUAGCCACUUAUCACUUUUCUGCUCAAAGAAAUGAGGGGCUCCCUAAUCAAUAUUCUUAGAUGAGACUGGAGGGAUUUCUGUGGCUAUAAAAAGUCAGUUAAUAUCUCUACCCAAUCACUUUCAUAGUACUGGUCUGAAACAGGAAACUUUCAGUUGUAUGUCUCCCCUUUUACAAGCCUUUGUUUUUAAAAUGUACAUUUACUUCUUUUUCUUUAUGUGACUGGUUGUCUGUAUGUGCCUCGUGUGUAUAGUCAUCUGUAGCAGCCAGAGUACAAUUGGAAACUCUGGAACUGAAGUUACAGGAAGUGGUGUACCACCCAGUCUGGGUUCUGGGAACUGGUCCUGGGUCUUUGCAAGAGCAUCAAGUGCAAUUAACAGCUGAGCCAUCUCUCCAGUUCUACAAGUUGUACUUUUAAAUAAUAGUAUAUUAUGCUAAUGUAUGAGCAUACACAAAAUCAGAGCUUAAUCAUCCAACUUCGAUAAUCACCAAUGUUUUGUUUGUUUAGUCUUUGUCCAUUUCUUCCAAAGUUUGUUUACUUAUUUAUUCUUUUUAUAAUUAAAAUCAAAUACUAACCUAAUGUUACCUCUGAUUUUGUCUUCCACAGCAUAAAUGCUGUUAGAUAACUUCCCACUGUCUUAUGCUUUUGUUUUCCAAGGAUCCAGUCACCCAUAAUCAGUGAUGCUCCAAAGCUAUAAAAUGGAGAAUUUCAGAAAUACACACUGCAUGUCAUUCUGCUUGUCUUAAACGCCAUGCCAUUCUGAAUAAAGUGUUGGAAUCUCCCACCACCCUGGUUCAUCCCAGGUGAGACAAGAAGCAUCCUUUCACCCAGAGCAUCCAUAUUCAUAAACU